UCAUUUGAGAUGAAGAUAUGGGUGAUGAUCAAUGCUUACGAUUUUGGUCAAUUUAUGUUAGCAAUUUAAUUCUUUUUCAUCCAUAUUUUCAUCUCGAAUUU
Arabidopsis thaliana (thale cress) is the source of this 101-nucleotide microRNA precursor. It matches the Rfam family "MIR774 microRNA precursor family". The record is from Rfam. NCBI's taxonomy places the organism in Eukaryota, Viridiplantae, Streptophyta, Magnoliopsida, Brassicales, Brassicaceae.